RNAcentral lists this unclassified non-coding RNA (235 nucleotides) under uncultured fungus. RNAcentral's name for it is "partial contains 5.8S ribosomal RNA, internal transcribed spacer 2, and large subunit ribosomal RNA". Lineage: Eukaryota; Fungi. The record is from RNAcentral.
AACGCACAUUGCGCCCCGUGGCAUUCCGCGGGGCAUGCCCGUUCGAGCGUCAUCAACACCCCUCGAGCCCAGCUCGGUGCUAGGGCGCGCCCUCCCCGGCGGCCCCCAACUCCAGUCGCGGUCCCCCGGGCACCCACAGCGUAGUCACGUCUCGCUGGGCGGGCCCCGGGCGGCGGCGAGCGAACCCCCCCUAGCAGUUGACCUCGGAUCGGGUAGGAGUACCCGCUGAACUUAA